RNAcentral lists this long non-coding RNA (387 nucleotides) under Cavia porcellus (domestic guinea pig). Its description in RNAcentral is "lncRNA (ENSCPOG00000031049.1)". The record is from RNAcentral. Lineage: Eukaryota; Metazoa; Chordata; Mammalia; Rodentia; Caviidae.
GCAGAUCUGGAUUUGAGCGUGCUGGGAGAGCCUCUCCUGAACAAGUCACAGUAUGGCUGCAGAGUAGAAGAAGAUGCAACUCUGCUUUGUAGAGCUUGCCUGGACAAUGGAGCACAUAAGGGAACAUGCACUUCAUUGCCAGGGGUCUGCAAGAAAGGUGCUGGAAAGGUCUACAGAGAACCAGUAAGAGCCCUACAGAAAGGAAAGAAUAUUGACUCACUGAUAGGGAGUAGGAGUGAAUGGCAUAAAGGGGGUGUAUAAAUGAAGCGGUCAAGCGUUACAGAAAAACAGAAGCAGAACUGUUUUUACUACUGGGAAUGAAAUUCAUUUCAAUAUUUAAUAUUCUUAUUACAUCAUUUUAAAAUGAAAGAUAUUUAAAAGUUUGAC